This 324-nucleotide ribosomal RNA is filed under the name uncultured Sandonidae. RNAcentral describes it as "SSU rRNA". The stretch from base 109 to 324 matches the Rfam family "Eukaryotic small subunit ribosomal RNA", at positions 738 to 955 of the family's 1831-position model. The record is from RNAcentral. Lineage: Eukaryota; Cercozoa; Glissomonadida; Viridiraptoridae.
GAUUUCUGACGAACCGGAGUGGCCCGUUUCCUUUCUGGGAAUGAGUGCCGCUUUGAGUUUGUCAUCCUUCCAGAGAGCUGCGUCUACCGUUCAUUCGGCCGGACGUAUGCGAUCUGGAUCUAUUACUUUGAAAAAAUUAGAGUGUUUAAAGCAGGCUUAUGCUAUGAAUACAUUAGCAUGGAAUAAUAAUUUAGGACUUUGGUUCUAUUUUGUUGGUUUCUAGGACUGAAGUAAUGAUUGAUAGGGAUAGUUGGGGGUGCUAGUAUUCCGCGGCCAGAGGUGAAAUUCUUGGAUUCGUGGAAGACUAACUACUGCGAAAGCAUU